Musca domestica (house fly) is the source of this 2044-nucleotide RNA transcript. RefSeq lists it as uncharacterized. Lineage: Eukaryota; Metazoa; Arthropoda; Insecta; Diptera; Muscidae. The record is from RefSeq and is a predicted model, not a curated record. The transcript has 2 exons.
UCAACGUUUAGCAACCAACGCGUUCGGAAGCUUUGUUUACACCGUUCAAUAUUCAAAGUGUUUGAAAGUUGUUAAAUAUUUGUUGCAGUGAGAUUCUAAACAUGGACUAUGAAGUAAACUCCAGCAAAUGCCAAGCCCACCGUAUGGAUGAUCUUUACAAUAAGAUAUCGUCAACGAUCAAAGAUGCCAGUCCGAGUUUGCGGCAAUGUUCUACGAGUCUCCGAAUUAUUAUAGAACAAUCAUUAGAAAUGAAUGCACCAUUGUACCUUAUACCCAUUGCAUUCGACAUAAGAUUUAACAAUGUUGACCCGGGCAGUAUUUCCCAAUGUUUGGAGAAAAUUGGAACUGAUCAAGAUACUAUAAGGCAAAUUCUUUACUUAUUUCAACAUGACUCCCGUCGAAUUGGCACCUGUUGCAAAAUUUGGCAAUCUCCGGAUAUAAAAGAAAUACAAGGAAUUGAAUUUUGCCUCUUGAGAGUGGUUUCUAUUUUGGUUCUGUCUUGGAGAAAAUCAAUGUUAAUGCAGAAGAUGGUAUAAUUUGGGAAGGAAAAGAGCUGCACUAUUUGGUUUUUGAAGAUCAAAUUUGUCUUAUGGCAAAAACAGUUGCUGCAAUCCAGUCUGAAGUCGAGCAAGUGGAAUUGCAUGCAUGUAAUGCAGGUCUAAAUAUCGACAGAAAAAAAACCAAGAUUAUGUGUAUAUCAGACAACAACACCGAGCCUGUUAAGCUCAAGGAUGCGGUAUUAAAAUAUGUUCGCUAUAUUUGGUACCUCGACAGUAUUUUUUGCAAAAAUGGAGGCAUAUUUGCUGAUGUGGCGAAAUCCAUACUGAUUGCUAACGAAAAUUUUACGGUAAUGCGAGAAUAUUGGAAAUCACCGAAAUAUUCGACCGAGGAAAAGAUGAAAUGUUUCAAUACUUUUAUAAAGCCGAUAUUACUUGAUGGGUGUGAGACGUGGAUUGAACCCAAAAGGGAGAUGAAGAAGCUGCAAAAAUUUGUAAAUAAGUGUCUGAGAGAGAUAUUACAAUCACGCGAGAUCCCUAAAAGAGAACUUCUUACUAGGUGCAAUGAAGAUCCUAUUGUAUACCAGAUUCGUUACAAGAAAUGGCUAUUUAUUGGUAGAAUCUUAAGAAAACCAAACACAAUUAUCUCCGCAAAGAGUUUCCAGUGGAAUCCACAAGGCAAGAGAAACAACGGACGCCCAAAGUUUACGUUGCAGAGAACUGUUGAAGAUAGAUUGGAAAAAAUUGGACCCACCUGGCCAGAUUUGAUACGUUUGGCCCAAGAUCCUCAUGUUUGGAAAAAGUUUCUAGAUGUGUAUAUUCACUGUUAUGCCGAUAAGAAAACAGUUGAACAAUUUCUUCAGGUGAAACAUAAUGAAAACGGAGACACAAAAAACUCUCUGUGAGAUACCAUGCCAUUUUUCGUAUUUUCCCCAGCAAAAUUAAUUCCCCAUCAACCCAUCCCACAAAAAAAAAAAUUCAGAUACAAUUUUUUACACCAAAUCUAAAAUCGUCCUCAGAAUAAUUUUUUGUGAGAAUAUUGACAACAUUUUAAUUUGUGAAAAACGCUCAUAAAACAAAACUAACGACAUUUUGCGGCAUCUUUAAUACCUCAUCAGACACAAAACUAUUGGUCGUACUAGAAACUAGUAAAAUAGUAUGACAGUAACACUGAGGCAGACUAGCCUAUUCCUACUAGAAACCUGUAAGGAAAGCUCAAAAGUCGGGCGGGGCCGACUAUAUGAUACCCCACACCACUAUGCAUAUUUAGUAGAGCUCUCGUAAAAAGGUUUAUACAGGGCAUUUCAGAGCUCUAUGAGAUAUUUGGUACAAAAUCAAAAUCUAUCUAAUUCUAUCGUGCAUUUUACAAACUAUAGCUAUCUCUGAACCGGGUUUCUCCAAAUUUUACGUAUUCUUCUUCUUCUUCUAGACUGGUGAUUUGGGCUGAUAUUGACCAUUUUGUGCACAUUUAACCCGAAAUCGGAUGAAGAUAUAUAUGAGAGCUAUAUCCAAAUCUGAACCGAUUUCGAUAAAAUUUAAAACAGCUA